Molecule: ribosomal RNA, 360 nt
Filed under: uncultured cyanobacterium
Lineage: Bacteria; Bacillati; Cyanobacteriota
Description: bacterial SSU rRNA
Rfam family: Bacterial small subunit ribosomal RNA
Source: RNAcentral
AUAUCCCGCCUGGGAAGUAUGCUCGCAAGAGUGAUACUCAAAGGAAUUGACGGUGGCCCGCACCAGCGGUGGAGCAUGUGGUUUAAUUCGAUGCAACGCGAAGAACCUUACCAGGGUUUGACAUGAUACGAAUUUCUUUGAAAGAAGAAAGUCCCGUUCCCCCCGUAUACACAGGAGGUGGGUGGCUGUCGUCAGCUCGUGUCGUGAGAUGUUGGGUUAAGUAAAGCAACGAGCGCAACCCUCAUUCUUAGUUGCCUUAUGGAACUCUAGAAAGACUGCCGGUUAUAAACCGGAGGAAGGCGGGGAUGACGUCAAGUCAGGAUGCCCCUUACACCCUGUGCUACACACGUGCUACAAUGG